GCAUCUGAAUCUUUCCCACUCCUUGCUAUGUGGUGCUGGACUGUGGGGACACAGGAUGCAACAGGAAAGCAGAGGAAAUCCAGACAGGCUCUUUCACUGCACUGGGGCUUGUCUCUACACCUUUGCAACAUUG
This is a non-coding RNA of Colinus virginianus (northern bobwhite), 133 nucleotides long. The record is from Rfam. Lineage: Eukaryota; Metazoa; Chordata; Aves; Galliformes; Odontophoridae.